UGAGACCUCUGGGUGGCCGCGGCUACACUUUCUCUACUCAUCAGGAAAGGAUAGCUGAGGAACUUCCGGGCUCCAUAGAGCACGAUGGCGGAUAACGUCCGCCCAGGGUAACCUGAGAGAUAGCGCAGCAGAAAGUAAACCGCCUUCCUUUCCCCUCAUAGAGAAAUGUAUGAACGGAUAGGAAUGGUAAGGGUGAAACGGCGGUGUAAGAGACCACCGGGCUGCUGGUAACAGUAUGCCGCAUGGCAAGCCUCAUCGGGAGCAAGGCCAAGUAGGAAUGCACUGAAGCUGCUCGCUUAAGCAUUCGGGUAGGCUGCUAGAGCGUCAUAGUAAUAUGGCGUCGAGAUGGAUGGUCACCUCCCCACUCUUUCGAGAGGGGAACAGAACCCGGGGUACAUGAGGUCUCACAUU
Molecule: RNase P RNA, 411 nt
Filed under: Alloscardovia macacae
Lineage: Bacteria; Bacillati; Actinomycetota; Actinomycetes; Bifidobacteriales; Bifidobacteriaceae
Description: RNase P RNA component class A
Rfam family: Bacterial RNase P class A
About the family: Ribonuclease P (RNase P) is a ubiquitous endoribonuclease, found in archaea, bacteria and eukarya as well as chloroplasts and mitochondria. Its best characterised activity is the generation of mature 5'-ends of tRNAs by cleaving the 5'-leader elements of precursor-tRNAs.
Source: RNAcentral